This 253-nucleotide ribosomal RNA is filed under the name uncultured bacterium. Its description in RNAcentral is "partial 16S ribosomal RNA". It matches the Rfam family "Bacterial small subunit ribosomal RNA", at positions 524 to 776 of the family's 1533-position model. The record is from RNAcentral.
UACAGAGGGGGGCAAGCGUUGUUCGGAAUUACUGGGCGUAAAGGGCGCGUAGGCGGCCUUCUAAGUCGAACGUGAAAUCCCCGGGCUCAACCCGGGACUGCGUCCGAUACUGGAAGGCUUGAAUCCGGGAGAGGGAUGCGGAAUUCCAGGUGUAGCGGUGAAAUGCGCAGAUAUCAGGAAGAACACCCGUGGCGAAGGCGGCUUUCUGGGACGGUACUGACGCUGAGACGCGAAAGCGUGGGGAGCGAACAGG